This 385-nucleotide ribosomal RNA is filed under the name uncultured bacterium. Its description in RNAcentral is "bacterial SSU rRNA". It matches the Rfam family "Bacterial small subunit ribosomal RNA", at positions 29 to 398 of the family's 1533-position model. The record is from RNAcentral.
AGCGAACGUUAGCGGCAGGCUUAACACAUGCAAGUCGAGCGAGAAAGGGGCUUCGGCCCUGAUUAAAGCGGCGGACGGGUGCGUAACACGUGGAUAAUCUGCCUUCUAGUGGGGAACAACAGUCCGAAAGGAUUGCUAAUGCCGCAUGUUGCAACGUGGACCCCGGUCUGCGUUGAUAAAGGGGGCGCCCGCAAGGGGCUCUCGCUAGAAGAUGAGUCCGCGGCCCAUCAGCUAGUUGGCGGGGUAAUGGCCCACCAAGGCUUUGACGGGUAGCUGGUCUGAGAGGAUGACCAGCCACACUGGGACUGAGACACGGCCCAGACUCCUACGGGAGGCAGCAGUGGGGAAUAUUGGGCAAUGGGCGCAAGCCUGACCCAGCCAUGCC